AAAAGAAAAAAGCAUGAACACACAACUCUUUUGUCUCUUUCUCUUUCCUUGUCAAGACACGACAACAUCCACUGUCUCUUUCUCUGUUAAUCGCAAAUCACAAACGCAAGGGCGAUCCGAGUAGAUCAAACAACUUCGCAGCUUAUUCGCCGAUUAAGCAUCAUAUGAACGAUUUUAUCAUCAAAAAAAGGAGAGGUUCGUAAGCGGAAGCAAGUUCAGCAGAGAACCCUGAAGCGUGAAAUUUUGGUUAAUGUUGAACAAUUUUUGGCAAAAUCACAUUUCUCUUUAGCAAACGGGAAUUUUUGAGCCACGCAGUCAUAAAUCCAGACAUAUUAGAUGUCUCAAGUUUGUUCAUGCUAUGUUGGAUUGCUCUUGCUGUGCUGAGUUGCAGCUAUGGAGACAAUAGGUGGUAAGGCUGUCAAAAUUUCAAAGUAUUCUAAGAAUUAAUGAGGACAAAUGUGAUAUUACACGACCAAAGUAGACGCAGUGUGGAACAUGACUAUCUGUUCUGGGGAACUGGAUGAUGAGCUCUGGAUGGGUACCUCUGUUGACAAUGAUUGUGUAUACUUUAACAUAACUAGUUUACAUCAACAUGAAAGACCAGACAAGUAAGGAGCAAUGGUGGUAUAACGCAGCAAAUCCCCUUGCUUUCUUGCUUGCUUUCCCCCUCUGCCCUAAAGAAGUUCCACCACUGAGCACAAGUGUUUCUAAACAGUAAAUGAAAAAUUUCUUCCAUCAACUAGUGACUUAGAGCACGAUAAUGAUGGCAAUGAUCAGGAACAACAUAAUGGAAAUCAUCAUGCAUUUCCUUGACUUCUUUUGCAAGCUUUUUGCUGUUUGCCGAGCGUCGUUACCCUGUCUCACAUGAUCAGUUGCGUUUGUCACCUGUUCAUUACAUAAUGCCAUUUUAAAAAGACAAAAUGAUUAGUUGUCUGAAUAGUAAAUGGUUGCCUAGUAAUCGAACAAUUCCUUUUGCAAUUGACGCAAUCACUACAUGAUUUUGCCCAAGCAACUUGAGCAAACAUACAAAUGAUACUAACAUAAAUUAUAUCCACAAAUAUAAAUAGGUGAGACGAUUAUCCAAAUUUGAUGGGAAAUAAUUAAGAAAGACUUGUGUUAGUUACAUUUUUCUAGGAAUAAAGGUUUUUAAAGUUCUUUCAUAAAUCUGUUAAAAAAAAUAAAAACUGGAUGCUUAAACUGAUUACUUCUAUCAAGAGAGCUAAUAGAAAAGGCACCUUAAAAUAACUUUCCAAAAUAUAUAUCUUCAGAAUAAUCGUAUUCAUGUGAUGGAAGUGGGUUAUAUGAACUAAAUGUUAUUCACUUUAGCACUUUAUGCAUAGUUAACAGAUAAUAAUGGGGAGGACAAUUUUCUUAACAAGUAAAAAUUGAUCAUAAGUAGUUGAGACAAGAGGAUCGAUACUCACUUUUAAUCUACACAAUACUCAUAGUUCUUUUAAUCAACGGAAUGAAUUUCAGAUUUCUCUACUAUUAAUUUAAAUUAUUCAUACUUCAACAUAUAAUAUGAUAUAGCCAUUAUCCUACAAGUACUGUUUUUGGUACAGUAAUUUUAGGGCAUUUGUUGUACUUUUGAUUUUUAUGAAAUAUUUAUAAGAUGCAUGUAUGUCAAAAAGAUUAAAAACAUAAUAAUUAAAAAAAUAGGCACAUAUAUACAUGUUCAUGUACAAAAGUUAAAACUUUGAUGUUCAAAUACAUCUCAUCAUUCUUGAGAUGAAACAGUGGAAGACAAGAAGAUAAGUCGAAAGUAUAAUGAAUUUGCAAGGUUAUAAGUAGGUUUCAUACACGCAUGGUAAAAAAUUGAGGCACCAAUUUCAGUUGUGUUUAAUCUUGGCAGAGAUAAAAAUAUAUAUAUAUCAAGUAAAAAUGAUAAUAAUUUAAGUUUUUAUUUUCUAAAUAUCUAAAUUUUAACCUUUUCAAGCUUACAAGCUACUGCCUAACACUCUGGGUGAAAAAUGAAACAAUAGAGAAAUAAGAAGGAAAAAAACGAGUUUUAAAAAUAGAGCAAAUAUAAGCUAAUAUUAUAAUAAAGAUGUAUUGUUUGAAUAGAACAAAGACGUAAAUGUCACCUAUGCGAGUUAAUACACUAGUAAAUACUUAAAGGAGAAGAAAAUAAGAUAAAAUAUAUUGAGUUUUCUAUAUAAGUUAAAAAUUAACUUAUGUUCCUUAGUUUUUGAAAAGUUAAAUGAAAAGAGUUUUUAUAGAAGUUAAAUACACAAGUUAACUUUAACUUAUGUGAGAACUUUGAUUCAUUUUACUUUUUGUUUUUUGUUUUUUUUUAUAUAAAUAUGAAGUUAUCUAAACAAGGCUUAGAAAAAAAUAAGUCAAAAAAUGAAGAAAGUUUUCUUUCCUUGUUUGGAUAAGCACAUUAAAAAAAAAAGUGAAAAGAAAUAAGUAGAUUGUAUAAGAAAACUUCUUAUCAUAUUGUUAUGCGUCUAAUUAUACUACAUAGUAAUGUAUGUUAAACUUUGAAGGGCAACAUAAGAGAAAGGUGAGACUACAGAAAUGAGAAUGUUAAGAUGGAUGUGUGGUCUCACAAGAAAGAUCAAGACACAAAGUAAUUAUAUAUUAUAUGAAACGAGAUUCGUGUGUCAUUGAUUGGAAAAAGAUAAACAUGUAAAUAAAAAUAAAUAAAUAAAUAAGCCAUCAGAAAUCCUAACCAUGUAAAGAGGAGAGGGGGACCAAAAAAAAAAAAAA
Long non-coding RNA from Cajanus cajan (pigeon pea), 2712 nucleotides. RefSeq lists it as uncharacterized. The record is from RefSeq and is a predicted model, not a curated record. NCBI's taxonomy places the organism in Eukaryota, Viridiplantae, Streptophyta, Magnoliopsida, Fabales, Fabaceae.